Molecule: long non-coding RNA, 5393 nt
Filed under: Lynx pardinus (Iberian lynx)
Lineage: Eukaryota; Metazoa; Chordata; Mammalia; Carnivora; Felidae
Source: RNAcentral
AACACGAUCUCUCCCUGCUUUGUGAAAACAAAACAAAAACCAAAAAUGAAAUUAAAAAAAAAACCACAAAACCUAGAUGCGUAUGUGAGUGAAAAGGGGAGCUAUUAAUAUUUAUAGUUGGAGCACAGGCAUAAACCUAGUCUGUCCUGGACACUGGGAUAUAUGGUUGUAUUAGGGUUCUCCAGGGCUCUUUAUUUUAUAUCUGCAUAUGUAUAGUACGUAGUAUAUACAAGGAGAUUUCUGAUAAGAAAUUGGCUCAUGAGAUUAUAGAAGCUAGCAAAUCCAAAAUCUGUAAAGCCCAUUCCAGUCCAAAGGCUGGAAGCCUCCAUAAAACCAGGAAGAGUGGCUUUCAUGAAGAUGGUGCGGAAAGCAAAGAAGGAAGCCCCUGCCCCUCCCAAAGCUGAAGCCAAAGCAAAGGCUUUGAAGGCCAAGAAAGCAGUCCUGGAAGGCAUCCACAGUCACACAAAAAAAGAUCUUCCUGUCACCUACAUUCCUUCAGAGACACUGUAUCUAAGAAGGCAUCCCAAAUAUUCUGGACGUGCCCCCAGGAGAAAUAAGCUUGACCACUAUGGCAUCAUCAAAUUCCCCCUGACUACUGAGUCAGCCGUGAAGAAAAUAGAAGACAACAACACUCUUGUGUUCAUUGUGGAUGUCAAGGCCAACAAGCAUCAGAUCAAACAGGCUGUGAAGAAGCUCUAUGACAUUGACAUGGCCAAGGUCAACACUCCGAUCAAGCCCCAUGGAGGAAAGAAGGCAUAUGUUUGACUGACUCCUGACUGUGAUGCUUUGGAUGUUGCCAACAAAAUUGGGAUCAUCUAAACUGUGUCCAGCUGGCUAAAUCUAAAUAUAAAUUUUUUCACCAAAAACAACAACAACAACAACAACAACAACAACAACAACCCACAAACACCCCCCCCCCCCCCCCCCACACACACACACAAAACUCAAUAAAACACCAUGAAGAGCUAAGGUCCCAGUUUGAAGGUUGUCAGGCAGAAAUCUCUCAUACUCUGGGAGGGCCAGCCUUUUGUUCUAUUUAAACCUUCAACUGAUUGGAUGAGUUCAACUGCUUUACUUAGUCUAACAAUUUAAAUGUGAAUCUCCUCCAAAACCACCCUCACAGAAACAUCCAGAAAAAAGUAUAACCGAAUAUCUGGGCUUUCCAUGGUUUAGCCAAAUUGACACAUAAAAUUAAUUGGAGUAGCCAUCCAACUUCUUUUAAAGUGGCAGGUAAUUUGCUGUCUCAUGUUGAGCCUCUGGCCACAGUGAUUCACACAGUAUUUUCUUUUACCUUUACUGCAACAAUGAAUCCAGUCUCUCCUUAUUGUAUACUUGCUCCUAGUUUGUGUCAGAAAUUCUCUGGCUCCAGCCCCUUCAUAUUUAUUUAUCUUUCUUCUAGGUAUUUAAUUUUAUCGUGUCAUUUUAAGACAUUGAUUUAUAAACUAUGCUCUGUGGAGGGAUGUGGUGUGGGGUAGGUAAAUGGAAGAAUGUAGGCAACAGGUGGGUUAUCAGGCACCACUGUUGCUUCAACAGAGUUGAAGCUCUGUUUUUGUUGCUUCCCGGUAAGCUUUUAUCUGAGGACAGAUUAGUUGGUUAAACUGUGUUUGAAAAUCACUACAUAUUUUCCUUAAUGAGUCCAUGAAACUGCUGAAAUUGUAUGUAAUAAUUUCUUUGUGAGGUUGUGUUUUUCUGAGGAGAGGGUGCACAAAUUUCUCGUUUAUUUACAAAGGUCUGUAACUAACAACAAAUUAAUCACCCAUUGGUUAAAUGUUAUGCAUGUUAUCUUGUAUUUUCAAAAGUAGAUAUGAUUUAGAAAUUACAUAUGAGGAUGCUGAGAAUAUUGAUAUUUAAUAAAUCAUGUCCUAUGUUUCUAUUGGCUCAGUAACAAAAUGAUACUGAAAUGAUGCAAAGAUUCAUUUGCACCAGAAAACAAAAGAGGAAAAAAGGCCUUUCCAAUGCACAUUUAACUGUAGACAUUACUGCCUUCUUGGUGGGGUGGCAUGUUUGAUACAUGGAGACAAAAGUAUCUUCCUUCUCAACACUCUUCUCUGAAACUUGGCUAAGUAGAAAAAUAUCAUUGAGUCAGAUCAAGUUUAAACAGAAAAAAAUUUCUGUUUUCUAUUGUUCCAUAGCAAACACUGUAAACACUUACUGGCUUAAAAUAACAGCAUUUAUUAUUUUUUAUGAUUCUUUCGGUUGACUGGCUGGCUCAUUACUCCACAUAGUGUCAGCUGGGAACGUGGCCAGGCUACCUUUGCCCUCCAUGUGGUAUCUUAUCCUUCAGAGAAUGUAUUUCCAUGUAUCCUCUCCCUUCAGGAGAACAGAAUGGAGACUGAGUUCCAAGAAGAUGAGUCCCAGUGUACAAUUGCUUGUCAACCUUCUGUUCACAUCAUGCAUGUUGAUGCAUGGCCAAAGUUCAUGUGCAAGCCCAGAAUCAAUAUGGGAGAGAACCAUCCCAAGCUUCAAUCCUGGGAGCAUGAUUCAUUAGGAGCCACCAGUGUAAUUUCUAACACAGAAAGGAAUUUGAAAAAAUUUGUUUGUACAAAGAAGGCUGGUAGCUCAUGGUCAGAGAUGAAAUCUGUUAUUAGAAAUUAAAAAACUAUGUAUCCAUACAUAUAAUUUAGGUAAUGUAUCCAUACAUAUAAUUAGAAAAUUUAGGUAAUGUAUCCAUACAUAUAAUUAGAAAAUUCAUCCCUUAAAAACCUUCACUAUUAAAAUAGGAAGAAAGAAAAUGAAAUCAUUAAGUGUCUUAUUUGAAAUAUUUUUUAAGUGCACAGAAUAACUACUAAGGAAAACAUAGGCAUAAAUAAUAAGGCAAAAGGGAGAAUUUAACAGUUUGAAAAGCCAUCACAAAAAUGAUAGGUUAAUAUCAAAAGUUGCUUCCUUGAAAAGCCUAAUGAAAUAAAGCUCUCAUAGUUAAAAAUCAAGUAAAAUAGAGAAAACACAUACAUAAUAUAAUGAAAAUUUGAAUUAAAGGUUAAUUCUAGGCUUACUAAUAUAUUAUCCUAUUCUGAAAUCCAUUACCAAUUCUGUAAAGAAAUACAAAUUUGGGGUGCCUAGGUGGCUUAGUCGGUUAAGUGUCCAACUCUUGUUUUUGGCUCAGAUCAUUAUCUCUGUUUGCGGGUUCAAGCCCUGCAUCCAGCUCUGCGCUGUCACUGCAGAGCCUGCUUGGGAUUCUCUCUCUCUCCCUCUCUCUCUCUCUCUGUCUCUCUCCCUCUCCUUCUAGCCCUCUCCCACUUGUACUCCCUGUCUCUCAAAAUACAUAAACUUGAAAAAAAAUAAAGAAAUACAAAUUUGAAGUUACAAUAUUUGAAAGAAUGGUGCAAAAUUAACAUUAUUUAUAGAUAAUUUGAUUUGUAAUCCAGAUAACUUGAGAUAACUCAAAAGUAUUAAGAUUAACAAAUUAAAUAUGUUUAAAAUGCAUAUAAAAAUAAGGAACUCUGUUAUUUAUCAGCAGUGAUCACAAUAUAUUGUAGAGAACAGUUUUCAUACACAUUAGUAGCAAAACUUUACCCAGGAAUAUAUUAGCUCAUUGCCUGGUCCAUGAAAGUCUCUCAAAAAUAUUUUCUGGAUGUUCAGGGGAUGCAUAGCUGGCUCAGUCGAUGGAGCAUGCAACUCUUGAUCUCAGGCUCAUGAGUUUUAGCCCCAUGUAUUGGGCAUGGAGCCUACUUAAUUAAAAAAAAGAAAAAAAAUUCUGGGUGUUCAUAGACUAAUAAAAAUGAACCAGAAGAGUGUAGAACCUAUGUGAACAGCCAAUACACUUUACUUGAGACAUAAUAAAGGGUGUUGAUUAAAUAAAUGUGUACCAUGUUCCAGGAUGGGAACUGUGAAUAUUGUGAAGACGCUAAUUUUAUCCUAUUAAUUUAAAUGUUUACUUCAGUUCCAUUAUGUGACUUCAAAACAGUUUUUGGAACUUAAAGUCAUACGAAAGUGUGAUGGAAGAACAAAAAAGGGGGUAAUGGUAUUCGUUUCUUUUUUAAAAACAAGAGUAAGAUAUGCAGACACUACUGAAGACUUGAAUUUAAAACAAAGCCGUGAUAACCAAAACGGCAUGUGAUUGGCACCAAAUCAGUUAGAUUAAUAAAUCUGAAUAAAAAUGUCAAGAACAGACUUUAAUGUAAUCAGAAUAUGAAAUAUGUUAAAUUUUCAAACCAGUAGAAAAAUUCAUUUAUUUAAAUACUGAUGCUGGAAGCACUACUUAAAAAUUUUUUUAUGUCUUUAUUUUAUUUUGAGAGAUGGAGUGCAAGUUGGGGGAGGGGCAGAGAGAGAGGGAGACACAAAAUCCAAAGCAGGCUCCAGGCUCUGAGCUGCAGCACAGACCCCGACACGGGGCUCAAACCCACAGACUGUGAGAUCAUGACCUGAGCUGAAGUCAGAUGCUUAACCGACUGAGCCACCCAGGUGCCCCAUGGAAGUAUUAUUAAUAAUAAAAAUAAGAACUCUAUGUCAAAUUAUAAACCAUAAUAAAUAAAAACAAUGGUAAUUGACAUAUUUGCCUACAUAAAACUAAAAAUUUUUGUAUGUAAACAUAUUAUGAAUAAAAGUUAAAAAAUGUAAGUUUCAGUUAGGCAGAAUGAUAAAUUCUAGAGAUCUGCUGUACAAUAUCGUGCCUGUAAUUAACAGCACUAUAUUUACACUUUAAAAGUUUGUUAAAUUUGUCACGUUAAGUGUCCUUACUACAAUGAAAAACAACUUGGGGCACCUGGAUGGCUCAGUCAAUUGAGUGUCUGACUCUUGAUUUCUGCUCAGAUCAUGAUCUCAGGGUCGUGAGAUCAAGCUGCAUGUUGGGUUUACAACAGAGCAUGGAGCCUGCUUGGGAUUUUCUCUCUCUCUCUCUCUCUGCCCCUCCUCUGUUUAUUCUCUCUCUCUGUCUCAAAAUAAAUAAACUUAAAAAAAACCUUGAUGCGGUAUUUUCCAGAAAUUUUUUUCUUCAAAAAUCCCUUGAAAGUGAAAAUUCUUAUUAAAUAACGAGCCUUUACAAAAAUAAUGAAAGAAUGAGCAAUAAAUACAUAAAUAACAGAACUGAUUAGGACACGAACCAACAAAAGAAUACAAAAUAAAAAAAAAAGAAUGGGAGUUAUUUAACCUCACAAUUGAUUAGAGAAAAUAAAAAUCUAUGUAUUUUGUAUUUUAAAAUUUGAAAAAUGAAAGAAAAAUGAUAGCCAGUGUUGUCAAUAGUUCAGGUAAAUGGGACUUAUGCAUUAUAGAGGAGGGCAGAAGUAACACGACAUAUGUAGAAUACAUGUGUAGAAUAAUUUGGUAAUUUGUAUCAAAAUACUUUAAAUGAAAAUAUCUUUGAUCUCUAAUUUUGUCUCCUAAAAUUGUCCCUAAGUAAAUAAUGAUGGAUGUGAAUUAGAGCAUUAAUGUUUUAUUGCAAACAUAAAAAAAAAUAU